AAAGAAGAAAAAAAUGGUUAAUUAUCACUGUGUAUCAUCACCACCAGAUAUAGGUACCCUUGCAUAUAGGUAUAAAUGCCACAUGAGAAUAUUCACGUCUGCCAAAAGAUUAGAAUGUGUUCACAUUUUAUUUAAAUGAUAAAAACUCUUCACUGAACAGAUCAGUUGGAGCUGAAAAUUUGUUUAACAUAACCUGGACAGUAGCUGCAAUUAGUUCCUGAAAGUUCCUAAUCAUUUAGAAGUGCUUUUCCAUGCAUUGUAAGAUUUCCAGAAUAUAGAACAUGUAGUUCCUGAUAAAAAAAAACACCAAAAGAUUGCUAAGAUAAAACUGUUGAGUAACUAUUUGUAAUACAGAAUGCAUCAAGAUGGUGGUAUGCUACAUAUAUAAUAUUGAUACUAUGACAGAUGAGAAAAGAAACUGAAGACAUAACCAAAUGCUGAAGUCAGCAAAGAUUAAGAUAUAAAGAGUAGAUAUUUUCCUGAAGAUCUCAUUUAUGUCUCGAAUGUGAAGGGAACAGAAGCUAUCAUGAUGAUUCUUUAUAAAGAAAAGAUACAGAAACACAAGCUCCUGUAGACACUUAUAAAAAAGAAGAUGUUUUUGCAAUGAAUAUGUGUGAAUGUGAUAAAUUAUGGCAAAUCAACAUGGUCAAUUAACAACAAUAUGUUCUACACAUUUCCUAGAUUUAUAAGUUUCAUAACAUUUAGU
Long non-coding RNA from Mytilus trossulus (common blue mussel), 706 nucleotides. RefSeq lists it as uncharacterized. Lineage: Eukaryota; Metazoa; Mollusca; Bivalvia; Mytilida; Mytilidae. The transcript is spliced from 3 exons. The record is from RefSeq and is a predicted model, not a curated record.